AUGGAUUUGCUUUGCAUGCUCCAGCAGACCCAACCUAGAGAAAAUCCUGAGCAUCGUCGAGAAUGUGAACUGAUCCAAGCCGGCACCACUCUCGCACAUAUCGUGGUACAAGUCCAAUGCCUCCUCACUGCGCCCAUGGAGCGAAUAUGCUGCCAGCAUCGUGUUCCACGCCACGACACUCCUCCAUGGUAUCCCAUCAAACACCCGCCUCGCCUCGUCAAUCCGCCCGCACUUACUAUACAUGUCGAUGAGUGCACAUGGCAGGUAUUGGUCCUCGCACAUCCCCAUCUUGGCAACGCAACAAUGCAGCUCCCGUCCAGCGUGCACCGACCCCAACACCGUGGCCGCACGGACGGCCACCACGACAACCCUCGGCCCAGCACCCACACCCACCUCCUCCCAGAGCUCCCCGAACAGCGCCAGCGCCCCACGGGGACGCUUCGCAUCAACCAGCCCGCCCAUCAUCACCCCCCAGGUGACCCGGCUCCUGGUCGGCAUUCCAUCGAACACCUCGCGCGCCUCCGCGAGCAUCCCGCACACCAAAUACAUGCCCAGCACUCGGUUCCACAUGUACUGGUCGGGCUGGAACCCGGAGCUCUCCAUGUGCCAGAGUACCCCUGCCGCGGAACCGGCCUCCCGCAACGCGGAGGCGGCCGUGACCAGCGCGUCAUAGGUGGACGCUGGCAGAGCCACGAAGGGGGCGCCCGCGCGAGCGUCCCGGAGCGCGUCGCAAGCCUCCCGGUGACGCCCCUCGGCGACCAGCCGCUCGAUGGCGGCGCAGAGGGAAGGGAGAUGGACGGGGCUGCCGCGCCUGCGGCUGCGGAAGGGCGCCUGCCGUGGGAGCUGCGGGCGUGGCUUGAGCGCUUGGGAUUCCACCGAGCAUGCGGAGACGGUGUUGGUCGUUGCCGUGGCCGUGGCUUUGGUGGUGGUGCGGUAGUGGAGUGGGAGGCAGCGGAGGGGAGUGAGCUGCAGCUCCAUAUGUGGAUUGGAAACCAAGCCGAAUUCGGAAGGGGGUGA
Molecule: ribosomal RNA, 1017 nt
Filed under: Triticum aestivum (bread wheat)
Lineage: Eukaryota; Viridiplantae; Streptophyta; Magnoliopsida; Poales; Poaceae
Description: partial small subunit ribosomal RNA
Source: RNAcentral